GACGAACCGUGCGAACGUUAUUCGGAAUCACUGGGCUUAAAGCGCGUGUAGGCGGGCCGCCGCGUCGGCUGCUGAAAUCCCCCGGCUCAACCGGGGAACGGGCGCCGAUACGGCCGGCCUGGAGGGGCGUAGGGGGACCUGGAACUUCCGGUGGAGCGGUGAAAUGCGUUGAGAUCGGAAGGAACGCCCGUGGCGAAAGCGAGGUCCUGGACGCCUACUGACGCUGAGACGCGAAAGCCAGGGGAGCGAACGGG
Molecule: ribosomal RNA, 254 nt
Filed under: uncultured bacterium
Lineage: Bacteria
Description: partial 16S ribosomal RNA
Rfam family: Bacterial small subunit ribosomal RNA
Source: RNAcentral